Molecule: ribosomal RNA, 252 nt
Filed under: uncultured bacterium
Lineage: Bacteria
Description: partial 16S ribosomal RNA
Rfam family: Bacterial small subunit ribosomal RNA
Source: RNAcentral
UACGGGGGGGCAAGCGUUGUUCGGAAUUACUGGGCGUAAAGUGCUUGUAGGUGGCCAACUAAGUCAGACGUGAAAUCCCUCAGCUUAACUGGGGAACUGCGUCUGAUACUGGAUGGCUUGAGUUUGGGAGAGGGAUGCGGAAUUCCAGGUGUAGCGGUGAAAUGCGUAGAUAUCUGGAGGAACACCGGUGGCGAAGGCGGCAUCCUGGACCAACACUGACACUGAGGAGCGAAAGCCAGGGGAGCAAACGGG